This 69-nucleotide antisense RNA is filed under the name Amycolatopsis tolypomycina. Its description in RNAcentral is "ASpks TB sRNA". It matches the Rfam family "ASpks TB sRNA". The record is from RNAcentral. Lineage: Bacteria; Bacillati; Actinomycetota; Actinomycetes; Pseudonocardiales; Pseudonocardiaceae.
CUUCACCGAGCCGAGCCAGAGCGGCCGCUCGCGAUCCUGGCCGUAGGUGGCGAGCAGGGCCUCCGCCUC